RNAcentral lists this ribosomal RNA (256 nucleotides) under uncultured archaeon. RNAcentral's name for it is "partial 16S ribosomal RNA". It matches the Rfam family "Bacterial small subunit ribosomal RNA", at positions 521 to 776 of the family's 1533-position model. The record is from RNAcentral.
UAAUACGAACCGUACGAACGUUAUUCGGAUUCACUGGGCUUAAAGCGUGCGUAGGCGGCUGGGAAAGUUGGGUGUGAAAGCCCUCGGCUCAACCGAGGAAUUGCGCCCAAAACUACCUGGCUUGAGGAAGAUAGAGGUAAGCGGAACUAAUGGUGGAGCGGUGAAAUGCGUUGAUAUCAUUAGGAACACCUGUGGCGAAAGCAGCUUACUGGGUCUUAUCUGACGCUGAGGCACGAAAGCUAGGGGAGCGAACGGG